UUCCUGUCCAACGUUAAUCGGGGCAGGGUGAGUCGACCCCUAAGGCGAGGCCGAAAGGCGUAGUCGAUGGGAAACAGGUUAAUAUUCCUGUACUUGGUGUUACUGCGAAGGGGGGACGGAGAAGGCUAUGUUGGCCGGGCGACGGUUGUCCCGGUUUAAGCGUGUAGGCUGGUUUUCCAGGCAAAUCCGGAAAAUCAAGGCUGAGGCGUGAUGACGAGGCACUACGGUGCUGAAGCAACAAAUGCCCUGCUUCCAGGAAAAGCCUCUAAGCAUCAGGUAACAUCAAAUCGUACCCCAAACCGACACAGGUGGUCAGGUAGAGAAUACCAAGGCGCUUGAGAGAACUCGGGUGAAGGAACUAGGCAAAAUGGUGCCGUAACUUCGGGAGAAGGCACGCUGAUAUGUAGGUGAAGUCCCUCGCGGAUGGAGCUGAAAUCAGUCGAAGAUACCAGCUGGCUGCAACUGUUUAUUAAAAACACAGCACUGUGCAAACACGAAAGUGGACGUAUACGGUGUGACGCCUGCCCGGUGCCGGAAGGUUAAUUGAUGGGGUUAGCCGCAAGGCGAAGCUCUUGAUCGAAGCCCCGGUAAACGGCGGCCGUAACUAUAACGGUCCUAAGGUAGCGAAAUUCCUUGUCGGGUAAGUUCCGACCUGCACGAAUGGCGUAAUGAUGGCCAGGCUGUCUCCACCCGAGACUCAGUGAAAUUGAACUCGCUGUGAAGAUGCAGUGUACCCGCGGCAAGACGGAAAGACCCCGUGAACCUUUACUAUAGCUUGACACUGAACAUUGAGCCUUGAUGUGUAGGAUAGGUGGGAGGCUUUGAAGUGUGGACGCCAGUCUGCAUGGAGCCGACCUUGAAAUACCACCCUUUAAUGUUUGAUGUUCUAACGUUGACCCGUAAUCCGGGUUGCGGACAGUGUCUGGUGGGUAGUUUGACUGGGGCGGUCUCCUCCUAAAGAGUAACGGAGGAGCACGAAGGUUGGCUAAUCCUGGUCGGACAUCAGGAGGUUAGUGCAAUGGCAUAAGCCAGCUUGACUGCGAGCGUGACGGCGCGAGCAGGUGCGAAAGCAGGUCAUAGUGAUCCGGUGGUUCUGAAUGGAAGGGCCAUCGCUCAACGGAUAAAAGGUACUCCGGGGAUAACAGGCUGAUACCGCCCAAGAGUUCAUAUCGACGGCGGUGUUUGGCACCUCGAUGUCGGCUCAUCACAUCCUGGGGCUGAAGUAGGUCCCAAGGGUAUGGCUGUUCGCCAUUUAAAGUGGUACGCGAGCUGGGUUUAGAACGUCGUGAGACAGUUCGGUCCCUAUCUGCCGUGGGCGCUGGAGAACUGAGGGGGGCUGCUCCUAGUACGAGAGGACCGGAGUGGACGCAUCACUGGUGUUCGGGUUGUCAUGCCAAUGGCACUGCCCGGUAGCUAAAUGCGGAAGAGAUAAGUGCUGAAAGCAUCUAAGCACGAAACUUGCCCCGAGAUGAGUUCUCCCUGACCCUUUAAGGGUCCUGAAGGAACGUUGAAGACGACGACGUUGAUAGGCCGGGUGUGUAAGCGCAGCGAUGCGUUGAGCUAACCGGUACUAAUGAACCGUGAGGCUUAACCUU
Molecule: ribosomal RNA, 1595 nt
Filed under: Escherichia coli 2-210-07_S3_C3
Lineage: Bacteria; Pseudomonadati; Pseudomonadota; Gammaproteobacteria; Enterobacterales; Enterobacteriaceae
Description: bacterial LSU rRNA
Rfam family: Bacterial large subunit ribosomal RNA
Source: RNAcentral